This 341-nucleotide unclassified non-coding RNA is filed under the name uncultured Auriculariales. Its description in RNAcentral is "sequence contains ITS1". The stretch from base 1 to 105 matches the Rfam family "5.8S ribosomal RNA", at positions 50 to 154 of the family's 154-position model. The record is from RNAcentral. Lineage: Eukaryota; Fungi; Basidiomycota; Agaricomycetes; Auriculariales.
GAAAUGCGAUACGUAAUGUGAAUUGCAGAAUUCAGUGAAUCAUCGAAUCUUUGAACGCAACUUGCGCUCCUUGGUAUUCCAUGGAGCAUGCCUGUUUGAGUGUCACGUAAACCCUCACCCUUGCAAUGUAAUAGUUGUCUUGUGGUGGAUUUGGAUUGUGCCGUAAUUGGCUCAUCCUGAAAUGCAUUAGCUUGCGCUUUUUACAGUGCUCGGCAUGGUGUGAUAAUUAUCUUCACCGUCGCCUUAGGCCUGUUCUAUAUGUGUAGCUUCUAAUCGUCCCUUGUGGACAACUUACUUAACACUUUGGCCUCAAAUCAGGUAGGACUACCCGCUGAACUUAA